CCUACAGGUGGCUGCAGUGGGGAAUAUUGGACAAUGGGGGCAACCCUGAUCCAGCCAUGCCGCGUGUGUGAAGAAGGCCCUCGGGUUGUAAAGCACUUUCAGUGAGGAAGAACGCCUGGUGGUUAAUACCCAUCAGGAAAGACAUCACUCACAGAAGAAGCACCGGCUAACUCCGUGCCAGCAGCCGCGGUAAUACGGAGGGUGCGAGCGUUAAUCGGAAUUACUGGGCGUAAAGCGCGCGUAGGUGGCUUGAUAAGCCGGUUGUGAAAGCCCCGGGCUCAGCCUGGGAACGGCAUCCGGAACUGUCAAGCUAGAGUGCAGGAGAGGAAGGUAGAAUUCCCGGUGUAGCGGUGAAAUGCGUAGAGAUCGGGAGGAAUACCAGUGGCGAAGGCGGCCUUCUGGACUGACACUGACACUGAGGUGCGAAAGCGUGGGUAGCAAACAGGAUUAGAUACCCCAGUAGUC
This 465-nucleotide ribosomal RNA is filed under the name Vreelandella stevensii. RNAcentral's name for it is "partial 16S ribosomal RNA". It matches the Rfam family "Bacterial small subunit ribosomal RNA", at positions 338 to 795 of the family's 1533-position model. The record is from RNAcentral. Lineage: Bacteria; Pseudomonadati; Pseudomonadota; Gammaproteobacteria; Oceanospirillales; Halomonadaceae.